Long non-coding RNA from Octopus sinensis (East Asian common octopus), 674 nucleotides. RefSeq lists it as uncharacterized. NCBI's taxonomy places the organism in Eukaryota, Metazoa, Mollusca, Cephalopoda, Octopoda, Octopodidae. The record is from RefSeq and is a predicted model, not a curated record. The transcript has 3 exons.
CCAAUUUUUAUUUCAAGAUCUUUAUACUUUCUCAGAGUUUGGUAGGUCUUGACAGAUACUUUUAUGUCGAUUGAGACAGUCGUAUCAAUGAGGAAGCAUGAUUUUUGGCUGAUGUCUUUCAAUAUAAUGUCUGGACUAUUCGCAUCUAUCUUUCUGUCAGUUUGAAGGGUGAAGUUCCAGAGGAGUGAGAUGUGAUUAUUUUCAAGAACUGGAGGUGGUUUGUGUUCCCACCAGUCUUUAUCAUGGAGCAGAUCCAGGUUUUUUUUCAAAAUACCCAGUAAAUAUAUUAUGCUGCUCUAUCAUACCUGUUGAGAUACUUUGUAGGCGCGAGAAGACUGCACAUGGAGUCAACAUGAUCGAUGGUUUCAUUUUGUUAUUGACAUACACAUGUUGGGCUACUGCCGUUCUUUAAUAUGUUGGCCUGGUAGUUUCUUGGGGGUAUGCAUUGAUCUUGAGCUGCUAUGAUAAACCCUUCUGUUUCUGAUUUUAAGCCAGAAGACACUAACCAUUGAUGAGAAAGGGCUUUGUGAACAUCGGCACUAUUAGCUCUCUUUAGGUAUUUGCCAUUGAGAGGCUUUUCUUGCCAUUUAUCAAUAAGAAUAUCUAAGGCAGCAGUUUUAGCACGGGUUUUCAUACGCUUAGCUUUUUCUGUGCUUGUUUUACUAGUACAGAUC